Molecule: ribosomal RNA, 441 nt
Filed under: uncultured bacterium
Lineage: Bacteria
Description: partial 16S ribosomal RNA
Rfam family: Bacterial small subunit ribosomal RNA
Source: RNAcentral
CCUACGGGAGGCAGCAGUGGGGAAUAUUGCACAAUGGGGGAACCCCUGAUGCAGCACCGCCGCGAGAGUGAGGAAGUAUUUCGGUAUGUAAAGCUCUAUCAGCAGGGACUCGAAAAGACGGUACCUGAAAAAGAAGCCCCGGCUACCUACGUGCCAGCCGCCGCGGUCAUACGUAGGGGGCAAGCGUUACCCGGAUUUACUGGGUGUAAUGGGAGCGUAGACGGAAAGGCAAGUCAGAAGUGAAAACCCAAGGCUCAACCAUGGGACUGCUUUUGACCCUGUCAAACUAGAGUACGGGAGAGGUAAGAGGAAUUCCUAGUGUAGCGGUGAAAUGCGUAGAUAUUAGGAGGAACACCAGUGGCGAAGGCGUCUUACUGGACCGAAACUGACGUUGAGGCUCGAAAGCGUGGGGAGCAAACAGGAUUAGAUACCCCUGUAGUC